AUUGAACGCUGGCGGCAGGCCUAACACAUGCAAGUCGAAUGGUAACAGGAAACAGCUUGCUGUUUCGCUGACGAGUGGCGGACGGGUGAGUAAUGUCUGGGAAACUGCCUGAUGGAGGGGGAUAACUACUGGAAACGGUAGCUAAUACCGCAUAACGUCGCAAGACCAAAGAGGGGGACCUUCGGCCUCUUGCCAUCAGAUGUGCCAGAUGGGAUUAGCUAGUAGGUGGGGUAACGGCUCACCUAGGCGACGAUCCCUAGCUGGUCUGAGAGGAUGACCAGCCACACUGGAACUGAGACACGGUCCAGACUCCUACGGGAGGCAGCAGUGGGGAAUAUUGCACAAUGGGCGCAAGCCUGAUGCAGCCAUGCCGCGUGUAUGAAGAAGGCCUUCGGGUU
Molecule: ribosomal RNA, 398 nt
Filed under: uncultured bacterium
Lineage: Bacteria
Description: bacterial SSU rRNA
Rfam family: Bacterial small subunit ribosomal RNA
Source: RNAcentral